GAGCAAUCCUGGCGGCGAGUGGCGAAGGGUGAGUAAUACAUCGGAACAUGUCCAGUAGUGGGGGAUAGGAGGCGAAAGCCGGAUUAAUACCGCAUACGAUCUAUGGAUGAAAGCGGGGGAUCGCAAGACCUCGCGCUAUUGGGGGGGGGUGGCGGAUUAGCUAGUUGGUGGGGUAAAGGCCCACCAAGGCGACGAUCCGUAGCUGGUCUGAGAGGACGACCAGCCACACUGGGACUGAGACACGGCCCAGACUCCUACGGGAGGCAGCAGUGGGGAAUUUUGGACAAUGGGCGCAAGCCUGAUCCAGCAAUGCCGCGUGUGUGAAGAAGGCCUUCGGGUUGUAAAGCACUUUUGUCCGGAAAGAAAUCCUGAUGGCUAAUAUCCGUCGGGGAUGACGGUACCGGAGAUUUAGCACCGGCUAACUACGUGCCAGCAGCCGCGGUAAUACGUAGGGUGCGAGCGUUAAUCGGAAUUACUGGGCGUAAAGCGUGCGCAGGCGGUGAUGUAAGACCGAUGUGAAAUCCCCGGGCUUAACCUGGGAACUGCAUUGGUGACUGCAUCGCUGGAGUAUGGCAGAGGGGGGUAGAAUUCCACGUGUAGCAGUGAAAUGCGUAGAGAUGUGGAGGAAUACCGAUGGCGAAGGCAGCCCCCUGGGCCAAUACUGACGCUCAUGCACGAAAGCGUGGGGAGCAAACAGGAUUAGAUACCCUGGUAGUCCACGCCCUAAACGAUGUCAACUGGUUGUCGGGCCUUCAUUUGGCUUGGGUAACAUAGCCUAACGCGAUGAAGUUGACCGCCUUGGGGAAGUACGGUCGCAGGAUUAAAAACUCAAAGGAAUUGACGGGAACCCGCACAAGCGGUGGAUGAUGUGAAUUAAUUCGAUGCACGCGAAAACUUUACCUACCCUGAACCGUUACGGAAGUCCGCUGAGAGGUGGAAUGUGCCGAAAGGAAGCAUAACACGGUGCAUGGCAUGCAUUCUGUAGACUGGUCGUGUGAAA
This 1000-nucleotide ribosomal RNA is filed under the name Paraburkholderia mimosarum. RNAcentral's name for it is "bacterial SSU rRNA". It matches the Rfam family "Bacterial small subunit ribosomal RNA", at positions 77 to 1072 of the family's 1533-position model. Lineage: Bacteria; Pseudomonadati; Pseudomonadota; Betaproteobacteria; Burkholderiales; Burkholderiaceae. The record is from RNAcentral.